Molecule: long non-coding RNA, 4468 nt
Filed under: Triticum aestivum (bread wheat)
Lineage: Eukaryota; Viridiplantae; Streptophyta; Magnoliopsida; Poales; Poaceae
Description: long non-coding RNA (TAES_LNC008838)
Source: RNAcentral
UGAAUAAUAAACAUUUAUCAUGAAAUAAGCAAAUAUAAAAUAACAACUUUAUUAUUGCCUCUAGGGCAUAUUUCCUUCAAAACCACAAUCUAGUAAAAAUCUAUGACAAUAUUGCAGUAAAAAACUAUAUAUCAAAAACAUACCACAACAAGGAGAAGGAAGAAUCCUAUGCCCAGCAUGGUAAGUCUCUACUUUCAGAUCAAACACAGAGUGGUCCAGAGUGAAGACCACACGAUCUCCAGCACAAAGAGCAUAGUCAUGGGUAAGUUCGAACCAGGCAGAACCAUAGAACUUGGAGUAAUGGGCUUCAUGCUUAAAAAUAACAGCAUAAGAUCUACUCUCAAAAGUCAGCAAAGCAGGCUCAAUCCUCUUGUAGUGCGACAUCUUGGCAACAUUCCUGUGCUCCUGAAUGUAAGCAGCUAGGAAAGCCCUCACAUUGCAGGGAAUGUAUUGGAUUGAACAAGAACAAAAUCAAUAGAAAAAAAUUCUAUAAAAGAGGUUGAAUAUAAGUGCACAGGCUUGAGUAUGAGUUCAAAAACCUAAUUCCUAAAACCUAAAAAGGUACAAUUAAAACUUGCAUUCUUAUCAUACUAAAAUCGCACACAUUGUACAACAGCAAAAACAUACAUACAUGCCUAUAUGAUACACUAGAUUAUAACUUACUGUAAGCACAUACAUUGAUAGGUACUAGGUCAUACUAAAGACCUAAAAUAAAAAAUGCACAAGCUUGAGUAUGAGUACAAAAACCUAAUUCCUAAAAUCAAAAAAGCUAUAAUUACAACUUGCAUUAUACUAAACUUGAAUACAUUUUACAAUAGCAAAAGAUUCAUACUAGCCUAUAUGAUACACUGGAUUACUACUUACUGCAAACGGAUACAUUGAUAGGUCAUACUAAAUACCUAAAAAUAAAAAUGCACAAGCUUCAGUAUGAGUUCAAAAACCUAAUUCCUAAAACCUAAAAAGGUACAAUUAAAACUUGCAUUCUUAUCAUACUAAAAUUGCACACAUUGUACAACAGCAAAAAGAUACAUACAAGCCUAUAUGAUACACUGGAUUAUAACUUACUGUAAGCUCAUACAUUGAUAGGUACUAGGUCAUACUAACUACCUAAAAUAAAAAAAUGCUCAAGCUUGAGUAUGAGUACAAAAACCUAAUUCCUAAAAUCAAAAAAGCUACAAUUACAACUUGCAUCCUCAUCAUACUAAACUUACAUACAUUUUACAAUAGCAAAAGAUUCAUACUAGCCUAUUAUGAUACACUGGAUUACUACUUACUGCAAACAGAUACAUUGAUAGGUCAUACUAAAUACCUAAAAAUAGAAAUGCACAAGCUUCACUAUGAGUACAAGAAACUAAUUCCUAAAAUCAAAAAGGUACAAUUAAAACUUGCAUCCUCAUCAUACUAAAAAUAUCACACAUUUUACAACAACAAAAAGAUUCAUACUAGCCUAUAUGAUACAAUGGAUUAUAACUUACUGUAAGCGCAUACAUUGAUAGGUACUAGGUCAUACUAAAGACCUAAAAUAAAAAUUGCACAAGCUUGAGUAUGAGUACGAAAACCUAAUUCCUAAAAUAAAAAAAGCUACAAUUACAACUUGCAUCCUCAUCAUACCAAACUUGCAUACAUUUCACAAUAGGAAAAAUAUUCAUACUAGCCUAUAUGAUACACUAGAUUACUACUUACUGCAAGUAGAUAUAUUGAUAGGUCAUACUAAAUACCUACAAAAAAUGCACAAGCUUCACUAUGAGUACAAGAAACUAAUUCCUAAAAUCAAAAAAAGGUACAACUAAAACUUGGAUCCUCGUCAUACUAAAAAUUGCACACAUUUUACAACAGCAAAAAGACUCAAACUAGCCUAUAUGAUAGACUGGAUUAUAUCAAAAAGUUCGAUGUUCAUGAUAAUAAACUUGCACACACUACGCAACAGGAAGAUUUAUAGAAGCCUCCAUCACAAUACAAGUGCAACUAAAAGUUGCAUACUCAUAAUUCUAAACUUACACACUAAUUACACCAGCAAAAAUUCAUAUUAGCAUUGAUGAUAUCGUGGUCUAAAACUCACUGGAAUAUAAGUAGUAAAUACCUAAAUAAAAAUGCAUAAACAUUCAUAUAAGUAAAAAAAACUAUACCAAAAACUUGCAUACGCAUAAUUCUAGAACUUGCACACAUUCUACAACAACAAAAGAUCCAUAUUAGCCUACAAGAUAUCCUGGUCUAGUAUUUAUUGUAAGCAGGUAUAUUGAUAUGCACAAAAAGAAAUUCAGGCUACAUGAAAUACAAAAUAUAUAACUCAAUUCACAGUUUCAGUUAUACUAGUGUGUAUUCAUCAAUAUCAACUAGAAUCUUAGCCUUGAUGAUAGUAUAUAUACAUUCACAUGAACAAAACAUAAAUCAUCAUAUAUAUGUUUCUUCCACAUUCAUCAUUCUAAACUUGCAUACAUUUUACAAUAGCAAAAGAUUCAUACUAGCCUAUAUCAUACACUGGAUUACAACUUACUGCAAGCAGAUACAUUGAUAGUUACUAGGACAUACUAAAUACCUAAAAAUAAAAAUGCACAAGCUUCAGUAUGAGUACACGAAACUAAUUCCUUAAAAUCAGGAAAAAGUUACAAUUACAGACUUGCAUCCUCAUCAUACUAAAAAUGCACACAUUUUACAACAACAAAAGACUCAAACUACACUGGAAGAUCUAUAGAAGCCUCCAUCAUAAUAUAAGUACAAAUUUAAAAGUUGCAUACUCGUAAUUAUAAACUUACACACUAAUUACACCAGCAAAAAAUUUAUAUUAGUCUUGAUGAUAAUAUAUAUAUAUAUAUAUAUAUAUAUAUAUAUAUAUAUAUAUAUAUAUAUUCACAUGAACAAAACAUAAAUCAAGCUAUGAAUGUUUCUUGUGUAUUCAUCAUACUAAACUUGCAUACAUUUUACAAUAGCAAAAGAUUCAUUGACAUGUCCAAAAGGAAAUCAACCUACACAAAAUACAAUGUUCCUAAUUAUAAAUAUACUAACUUCGAUUCAUAAUAUAACUAAACUUGCACACAUUUCUAAUACCGAAGCUUGCACACAUUUUGCAUACACACAGCCAUACUUGCACAGGUUUCAUGAGAGCACACAUACUGAUACGUAUAGAAUUAAAGAGUUCCUAUAAAAGAAAAGAUAAAUACAACUCACCAUCCUCCUGAAGCAAUCCUCAUCAAGGACAACAUCAAAUACUUCACAGACGUCAUGAUCUGGCACCAAUGGUACACAAGGGGCACCCGGACAACGACAAACAGGGCAAACCAUAGCUACAAAAAAUCUAAGAAACAUAGAGUAAAUAAAAAAAGACAAAUUUACAUAAUUAAACAAAAGGGAAUAAGCAGGAAGGACAACCUACAUUAACUAUAAAAAAAACACUAUCAAUCUAAUUAUAUCUCGCAAAAAUAGAAUUCACAAAUCUAAAUUGGAACCUUAAAAAGAAAUUACAUAAAAAACCUCCCUAAUCUUUAUUAAAUCUGAACAAAUUGCAUCUCUUUAAAGCUAAACUUCCAGAAAUUCCUCAAGAAGCAAAGUGUAACAAAAAAUCAUUGACACAAAAAGAGUGGACAUUAUAAAAAUCAAAAUAUAACAUUAUGAGACCACCAUCCUGCUACUGCAUGGGUUCAGGACACCAUCCUGCUACUAAAAAAUAAUCAAGAAAGGCCUACAAAAAGCACACAACCUAGAAUCUGCAUCACAAAAAACAAUAAACACUAAAAAGAAUGCAUCUUUACAGACAUACAAGACACACUAAAUUACCCAGUUCAAACCCUAAUAAACCAAAACCUAAAACCAAGCCGUAAAACCAAAUCACACUGCACAUCUAGAAACCCUAAACAUACUACACACACUACCACCAAACAGUAAGAUUCAAACAAAGACAAAAAAUACGUGAGAAAGAGGAGAUGCACCAACGACAAUCCGUCAGCAAGGAAAUCCCCCGACUGGUAAAUCCUGCAAACAACAUAGAUAAACACAGAGAAGCACAUUAGUAAGCAGAUCUAGCAAGAAAACAAAAAAGCUCAGGAAGAACUAUGAGCAGAGGAAGCAGAAGUAUCGGAUCUAGCAAGAAACUACACGGACCCUAUCUCGACGCAUGAAGCGAAGAACACAAAGAGCAAGAUAAACUAAGGCAGAGAGGGUAACCACGACAAGAAUACCUGAAAAAAAAUAUGAGGUGCAGCAAAGGCAAAUCCUACAGCAACCAAUCCCCCGAUUGGAAAGUCCUGCAAACACCAUAGAUAACCAUAGAGAAGCACCCAGGUGAGCAGAUCUAGCAAAGAAACAGAUAGCACAAGAAGAUGUAUGAUCGGAGGAAGCAUAAGGAGGAGAUCUAGCAGCAAAAUCCACGAACCCUAGCUCGGGACGGGAAGAGGAGAAGACAUAGACUGAAGUAGAGCGGGGGGGAGGGGGGGCACUGAACAACCACGAGGGGGAGAUGAUAAGACGAGAAGAG